UACAGAGGGGGCAAGCGUUGUUCGGAAUUACUGGGCGUAAAGGGCGCGUAGGCGGCCUUCUAAGUCGAACGUGAAAUCCCCGGGCUCAACCCGGGAAUUGCGUCCGAUACUGGAGGGCUUGAAUCCGGGAGAGGAAUGCGGAAUUCCAGGUGUAGCGGUGAAAUGCGUAGAUAUCUGGAGGAACACCGGUGGCGAAGGCGGCAUCCUGGACCGGCAUUGACGCUGAGGCGCGAAAGCGUGGGGAGCAAACAGG
This 253-nucleotide ribosomal RNA is filed under the name uncultured bacterium. Its description in RNAcentral is "partial 16S ribosomal RNA". It matches the Rfam family "Bacterial small subunit ribosomal RNA", at positions 524 to 776 of the family's 1533-position model. The record is from RNAcentral.